Molecule: long non-coding RNA, 673 nt
Organism: Chiroxiphia lanceolata (lance-tailed manakin)
Lineage: Eukaryota; Metazoa; Chordata; Aves; Passeriformes; Pipridae
Exons: 5
Source: RefSeq, a predicted model, not a curated record
GACUGAACAUUCCUGCCUGAAAUGGAGAAUAUAUAAACUUGGAGUUUCGGAACCUUUUCAUCCACUCGUGGGAUCCAGAGGAAGACUGCAGGCCACUGCUCUCAACCAGAGUGCAGACCACCGCUCUCGACUGGACUGCAACGACCACUUUUCAACCAGACUGCAACUACCACUCUUGACCAGACUGCAACAGCACUCUCACCAACAGGAUAUAGGUUUAGAGGUCACAAGUAGCAACUCAUUAAAAUUAAAAACCAAGUGAAGAAUACUUCACAGCUCUGAAACCGAUAUCAGAGAGCUUGUGGGACUUACCAGAGCCACCUGGGUUCCUGUUCCUUAUGCUUGUGCCAGUGAAGUAUGACAAUGACACUGCAAACAAGAAUUCAUAUUAGGAAGUUAUCUGAGACUUUAGUUUUAAACAAUAUUCCUGGAACUCAUCUUUUAGAACUACAAGAUAUUUGCCACUUUGAUUCUCAACAGAAUGCUGUAGUGGGUGUGUGUGAAGAUGAAGAUCUGAAAGUUUCAGAAAUAUGAACAGAAGAAGAGAGCUGAAUGUUGAUGACGGUACACCUGAAUUUACUCUAAAUAGUAUCAAGAGAAAAAUUGCUGCCAGUUUUUCUUCCAAGCGUCCUGUCUUAUUCAGCAGAGUGAUGGUGAUAAUUUUAGGGUAUUA